CCCUUCGGGGGGACGACGGUGGAAUGAGCGGCGGACGGGUGAGUAACACGUAAAGAACCUGCCCAUAGGUCUGGGAUAACCACGAGAAAUCGGGGCUAAUACCGGAUGUGUCAUCGGACCGCAUGGUCCGCUGAUGAAAGGCGCUCCGGCGUCGCCCAUGGAUGGCUUUGCGGUGCAUUAGCUAGUUGGUGGGGUAACGGCCCACCAAGGCGACGAUGCAUAGCCGACCUGAGAGGGUGAUCGGCCACACUGGGACUGAGACACGGCCCAGACUCCUACGGGAGGCAGCAGUAGGGAAUCUUCCACAAUGGACGAAAGUCUGAUGGAGCAACGCCGCGUGAACGAUGAAGGCUUUCGGGUCGUAAAGUUCU
RNAcentral lists this ribosomal RNA (371 nucleotides) under Exiguobacterium profundum. RNAcentral describes it as "bacterial SSU rRNA". It matches the Rfam family "Bacterial small subunit ribosomal RNA", at positions 75 to 434 of the family's 1533-position model. Lineage: Bacteria; Bacillati; Bacillota; Bacilli; Caryophanales. The record is from RNAcentral.